UACGUAGGGUGCGAGCGUUGUCCGGAAUUACUGGGCGUAAAGAGCUCGUAGGUGGUUUGUCGCGUUGUUCGUGAAAACUCACAACUCAAUUGUGGGCGUGCGGGCGAUACGGGCAGACUGGAGUACUGCAGGGGAGACUGGAAUUCCUGGUGUAGCGGUGGAAUGCGCAGAUAUCAGGAGGAACACCGGCGGCGAAGGCGGGUCUCUGGGCAGUAACUGACGCUGAGGAGCGAAAGCGUGGGGAGCGAACAGG
Molecule: ribosomal RNA, 253 nt
Filed under: uncultured bacterium
Lineage: Bacteria
Description: partial 16S ribosomal RNA
Rfam family: Bacterial small subunit ribosomal RNA
Source: RNAcentral